RNAcentral lists this long non-coding RNA (4826 nucleotides) under Podarcis lilfordi (Lilford's wall lizard). Lineage: Eukaryota; Metazoa; Chordata; Lepidosauria; Squamata; Lacertidae. The record is from RNAcentral.
AUUACCAGAAGAACCUAGAAGUACAACAGUCAAGAGUGGAAAUUUUUAAAGACGUCCCGAAAUAUCUUUUGGAUCUUAGGCCUAACUACGGAGAUAUUGUUGCCCUGCUGAGAAGGAACAAAAUCAUCUUUAGGUGGGAAUUCCCCCAAGGUCUAUCCUUCAGUUUCAAAGGAAGGAAAAUAAAAAUAAGAUCAGUAGAAGAUAAAGUUUUUGCAUAAAUACGAAGAAGAUCUGCAGAAGGGACUUGGAAAAGAGCCAGGAGCAUCGGACAGAAGAUCAUCAGAUAGAGGACUAGAGCAAAAAGCAUCGAAGAUCACCAAACAGGGGAAUAUUGGAUAUAUCAGCAUUAUCCUUUGGAUUGGAUCUCCCAGUGAACGUGUCACCACUACCACCAACAGAAGAAGAGCAAGCAUUGGGUGCAGUUGGAGGAAUAUCAGUGUAAUUACAUGAUGGCGUUGCAGGUUUUGAGCUGGAAUGUGAAUGGAUUAAAUUCCCCAGAAAAAAAGGCGGAGAGUCUUUCAUUUAUUGAAAAAAAGAACAUUUGGACUUGAUUUGUUUACAAGAAACACAUGUGAUAAGGCUACACAGGAAGAUAUUGAGUAAUAAAAGACUGGGCCAAGAAUUUAUCUCAUCAGAUAAAGUUAAAAAAAGAGGAGUGGUCCUUUAUGCAAAGGAGAGCCUAUCACCGAAAUUCAUAUUCAAAGAUGACCAAGGAAGAUUUGUUGCAAUUGAAAUUCAAUCACAAGGAGAGAAAUUUCUGAUUGUAGGUAUUUAUGCACCAAAUGAAGGAAAAUCGGAGUUCUUUUAAGAAGCUACACGAGACUCUGAUGGAUUAUAUGGACUAUAAUAUGAUCUUGAUGGGAGAUAUGAAUGGAGUGGUGUCUACAAAUAUGGACAAGGCACAGAGACAGGUAGUCACCAAAGAUGGUAGACUACCAAAAACCUUUUUUGACAUGACUGAAAAUAUGGACUUAGUUGACAUUUGGAGAAUGAAGAACCCUCUGGGAAGAGAGGGAAAUGACAUGGACAAGAAUUGACCAAAUCUGGGUAACUAGGAGAUUGGCUCUGAAGAUCAGUAAAGUGGAGAUUUGCCCCAAAACUUGUUCCGACCAUAAUGCUGUGAAGAUGGAAAUGAAAUUGACGCCAAUUGGUUCCUUUAGAUGGAGGAUGAACGACACUUUGUUCAGGAACGAAGAGGUGACCAAGAAGGCCCAAAAAACUCUAAGAGAUUAUUUCGAGAUAAACAUGAAUACUACAGUGGAAAAAAGAGUAAUUUGGGUUAUGAGAGGAUUCCUAAUACAAUUUGGGUUAUGAGAGGAUUCCUAAUACAACAGAAUGCAAUUAAGAAGAGAACUCAGAAUGAAAAAAAGGAUAAAAUCCUGGGGAAAAUAAAGGAAGGAGAGAAGAAAUUGAGAGCAAAACCAAAGUCACAGGAGAUCCUGAAAGAGAUAAAGUUAUACCAAGUACAAUAUACGAAGCUGAUGAAUCAGGAAAUAGAAUGGAAGAUUAAACAGAUGAGGCAAAAGACAUUUGAAUCGGCAAAUAAGUGUGGAAAAUUGUUGGCCUGGCAAAUGAAAAAAAGACAAAAACUCAAUACUAUUACGAAUUUGGAAGUGGAAGGAAAGAAUAUACAGAAUCCAGUGGAGAUCAGGAAGUGUUUUCAGAGGUAUUUCAAACAACUUUAUACACAGGAGAAGCAGAAAGAAAUGGACAUUGAUCGAUUUUUGAAAAUAAAUGGACUACACAAAAUCUCUCAGGAAAAACAGCUAAUGUUGAAUUACAAAAUAACGGAUCAGGAGGUGGAAGGGGCCAUCCAGAACAUGCAAUUAGGUGAAUCUCCAGGACCAGUUGGUUUGACUUCAAGAUAUUACAGAUCUUUGAAAGAAUGGUUAAUACAACCAUUGAAGGAAGUCUGCAAUGAAAUAUUGGAAGGGAGAAAGGCACCAGAGUCGUGGAAGGAAGCUUACAUUACACUUAUACCGAAAACAGAGACUGAAAAGACACAGCUCAAGAACUACCGCCCUAUAUCGCUGCUUAAUGUGGAUUACAAAAUUUUUGCAGAUAUUUUGGCUAAAAGAUUAAAAAAGGUAUUAGUAGAAGAAAUUCAUAAAGACCAAGCGGGCUUCCUCCCGGGCAGACAUUUGUCUGACAACAUGAGAAAUAUAAUUAAUAUUCUAGAAAAAUUACAAGUGAAUAUUAAUACUAAGGCAGUCUUGAUAUUUGUGGAUGCAGAGAAAGCCUUUGACAACAUUUCUUGGAGUUUUAUGAAGAAGAAUCUACAGGGAAUGGGGGUAGGUCAAGGUUUUGAAAAUGGUAUAGGUGCAAUUUAUUCAGAACAAAAGGCAAAAUUAAUUGUGAACAAUGUAGUGACAGAAGAGUUUAAGAUUGAGAAAGGGACACGACAAGGUUGCCCAAUUUCUCCAUUGCUUUUUAUAUCGGUCCUUGAGGUUUUGUUAAAUAUGAUUAGAAAGGACCAAGAGGUUAAAGGUAUACAAGUGGGAGCUAAACAGUACAAAUUGAAAGCAUUUGCUGAUGACUUAGUAUUGACUUUACAGGAGCCAGAAUCUAGUACCAAAAGGGUAUUGGAACUGAUUCAAGAAUUCGGACAGGUAGCAGGUUUUAAGUUGAACAAGAUGAAAACUAAGGUUUUAGAGAAAAACUUAACUGUGAAUGAGAGAGAGAAGUUUCAGGAGGAGACAGGACUAACAUUGGUUAAGAAAAUGAAAUAUUUAGGGGUUAACAUGACUGUCAAAAAUGUGAAUUUAUUUAAGGAUAAUUAUGAAAAAUGUUGGAUUGAAGUGAAAAAGGAUUUAGAAAUAUGGACAAAUUUGAAGUUAUCAUUGUUAGGCCGAAUUGCUGUGAUAAAAAUGAAUGUGUUGCCAAGGAUGUUGUUUUUGUUUCAAACAUUGCAAAUUUUGGAUAAGAUGGAUUGUUUCAAGAUGUGGCAGAAAGAUAUUUCCAGAUUUGUUUGGCAGGGCAAGAAGCCUCGAAUAAAAUUUAAGAUAUUAACUGAUGCCAAAGAAAGAGUUGGAUUUGCCCUGCCAGAUCUUAAACUUUAUUAUGAAUCAGCUGCUUUUUGCUGGCUGAGAGAAUGGCUGCUUCUUGAAAACACUGACGUGUUGGAUUUAGAAGGUUUCAAUAAUGUAUUUGGCUGGCAUGCAUAUUUGUGGUACGAUAAGGUAAAAGCACAUAAAGCGUUUAAAAAUCAUAUUGUUAGAAAAGCAUUGUUUAAUGUUUGGAUAAGAUAUAAGGAUAUGUUAGAAAAGAAAACCCCAAGAUGGUUGUCACCAAUGGAAGCGAAGGCACAGAAAAACUCAAUAUGGAGGCCAAAUGGCCGAAAUAUUGGGAAAUUCUGGAUCAAGAUGGAGACAGAAUAAAAUUGCAGAGCUUUGAAAAAUAGAAAAAUAAAGUGCGAGAUUGGCUCCAUUAUUACCAAAUAAUGGAGGCAUACAAUUUGGACAAAAAAGUUGGUUUCCAGGUGGAAAAAUCAAAAUUGGAAACAGAAUUGUUAGAUCCAAAAAUUAAGAAUUUGUCAAGAAUGUAUAACUUGCUGUUGAAAUGGAACACUCAGGAUGAAAUGGUGAAUCAGCUAUGAUUAAAUGGGCACAAGAUGUUGGACAUAACAUAAUGAUGGCCGACUGGGAACAGUUAUGGACCACAGGUAUGAAAUUCACGGCAUGUAAUGCCCUAAGAGAAAAUUUAAUGAAAAUGAUUUAUAGGUGGUACAUGACACCAGUCAAGCUUGCAAAAAUUUACCAUUUGCCCGACAAUAAAUGUUGGAAAUGUAAUGAGACUGAAGGUACAUUCUUUCACCUUUGGUGGACAUGCCCAAGGAUUAAGACAUUCUGGGAGAUGAUUUAUAACGAAAUGAAAAAGGUAUUCAAAUAUACCUUCCUGAAGAAAGCAGAGGCCUUUCUCCUGGGCAUGGUCGGCCAAUUGGUGCCAAAGAAGGAUAGAACUUUUUUUAUGUAUGCAACAACAGCAGCAAGAAUACUCAUCGCGAAGUAUUGGAAGACACAAGAUUUACCCACCCAGGAAGAAUGGCAGAUGAAGUUGAUGGACUAUAUGGAACUGGCGGAAAUGACUGGCAGAAUCCGAGACCAGGGAGAAGAGUCGGUGGAAGAAGACUGGAAAAAGUUUAAAGACUAUUUACAGAAAUACUGUAAAAUUAAUGAAUGUUAGAAAAAUGUUGGAAUGAAGUUAUAUGGCUUUAGUAGAAAUGUUAUAAGGAAUUAAGUAUAAAUAGAUUAAUAGAGAAUUAAAGGGAAAAAUAAGGUUAGAAUGUGUUAAGAUAAUUAUAGGAUAGAAAACAGAGGAAGAUGGAAAGGAAUUGCUGAAACAAUUAACAGAAGUGGAAUACAAAAAGGGAGGUGUGAGGAGGUUGUGGAAAUAAGUGAAUGAAAGAUAAGAUAUUGAAAUUGUUUGAUGUGUUUAACUGUUUUUGUUUUGUUUUGUUAGUUUAAUGUGUUAGUGUUAUGUAGUGUUUUUGUAUUGUAUUGUAUUGUUUUUGUAGUGUUUAAAUUGUUGGAAAAGUAAUAAAUAUUUUUUUUUUAAAAAAAGAAGAUUGGAAGACGGGAUUUGUAAAGGAUAACAGCAAAGAGACAGAAAGAUGGGACAUGUGAACAUCAAAGCAGCAGAAAUAUGAGAUGAUUGGACCCUUUCCUAACUCGAAGCAUGGAUACCCCCAACAAAAAUUUAAAAUUCAGCUAAAUAUUUGGAGUUUAUUAUGUAUUGGUAUAAUUUGGAAUUAAUGUAAUUUGGAAUUAAUGUGAUUGGUUUGUUAAUUGGAAAUUUAAUAAAAAUUAUUUAAAAAAAAGAAAGAAAAA